AACUGCGAUAAGUAAUGUGAAUUGCAGAAUUCAGUGAAUCAUCGAGUCUUUGAACGCACAUUGCGCCCCCUGGCAUUCCGGGGGGCAUGCCUGUCCGAGCGUCAUUGCUGCCCUUCAAGCCCGGCUUGUGUGUUGGGUCGUCGUCCCCUCCGGGGGACGGGCCCGAAAGGCAGCGGCGGCACCGCGUCCGGUCCUCGAGCGUAUGGGGCUUUGUCACCCGCUCGAUAAGGACCGGCCGGGCGCCAGCCGGCGUCUCCAACCGUUUUUUCUCAGGUUGACCUCGGAUCAGGUAGGGAUACCCGCUGAACUUAAGC
Molecule: unclassified non-coding RNA, 314 nt
Filed under: plant metagenome
Description: partial contains 5.8S ribosomal RNA, internal transcribed spacer 2, and large subunit ribosomal RNA
Rfam family: 5.8S ribosomal RNA (bases 1-104)
Source: RNAcentral